This 1862-nucleotide unclassified non-coding RNA is filed under the name Leishmania donovani. RNAcentral's name for it is "gene:LdHU3.29.2830(CDS-product:hypothetical_prote in_conserved)". The record is from RNAcentral. Lineage: Eukaryota; Euglenozoa; Kinetoplastea; Trypanosomatida; Trypanosomatidae.
AUGCACACCAGCUGCAUACGUGCGGUGCAGAGCAUCACCUGAGCAGACACAUCACAGUCGCAUGUACACAGACAACUUAUAUAUACCGCAUUAUCGAUCGACUUCGCAUGGGUCUCUUUUCUUCCAAGCACGCUCGCGGCGAUGAUGGCAAGCCCCUCUCGCUCGAUGUGAUUGCCAGCCGCCCGAGGCUGGAGCCGCACGAGGUCAGUCUCCUCCAGCUCACACUCCAUGGCGUGUACGCAACGCUGGCGGCGCAUGUCUACUGCGCUGCAGCGCCAGAGACGGCGAUGCAGGUGCCCCUGCCUGAGGGCUGGGAGGUUUUGCUCCAGUGCUCGAGUCUGCACCUUGACAAGGAGGGGUACUUCGCCGUCGCGUACGUGCACCGCGGCUCGCGCCACUGCAUCAUAUCGGAGCGUGGAACCUCGGAGGUUCUCGGACUCCGCGCCGGCAUCUGGAUGUACUUUGAGCAGCCCACUAUUCAGUUCUUCUUGGCGGCGCAGUUUUCCAAGGCGGUGCGGCACAAGCUGGAGGUGAUGGAUAGAGUCUGCAGUGGGUCGUGGUUCGUCUCCUACACUGGGCACAGCCUCGGCGCCGUCAUCGCUGGCUGCCGCGCGGUGGAGGAGGGCACGCUAGCCGUCACCUUCGAAUCGCCCGGUGCGCGGGUCUUCAUUGAAAAGACGCUUGACGCCUCCAGUAGCAUGGAUGGGCACCUUAUCACCUACUUGCGGGCUCCCAACCCGAUCAACACACUGAAGCCGCAGUGCGGCUAUGUGAUAAUGAUACCAACUCAGCAGGUCGUGUUGCCCAGCGGUACCCUCUUUCUCGCACCGUCCAACCCGGCCGCCGCCGAAGACGAAGACGAGAGGCAGUCACCGAGGAGCGGGAGCGGUAGCAGGGCGUCCCGCAUGCCCAGCAAAGUCCCCCUGUCGUCGACAUCCUCCACAAACCCGAGUGGGUACGCCGGUCUAGUGGCAGCCCCGGUUACCACGGCUGCAUCGACGGGCACCACUGCAGCCGCAACGCUUGCGGCUCGAUCACCAACCCCACCCUCUGUGCCUGCCAGUAAUAGCAACAAUAGCGGCCCCGGAGUUGCCGUCGCCAGUGCGCCGGCUCGUUGGAGAAUCCCGUCCUUCCGUCCGCAAGAGUACCUGCGCGGUUAUCUGUUUGGCGGGGUGGGCAUGGGCGUUCCGGAGCUGCAGCAGUAUGUGGGUAAGGUGGAGCCGAUGAUUCGCGAGAUGCUCGAGCACACGCAGCAGGUGCACUCUAUUCACAGCCUGCGCAGCCACUUUCAGAAAAGUGACGAGCCAGGCGACGAGGAGGUGGUGCUGCGGUGGCCCUCGCAUCUGCUCCAGUUCAUGGAGUUCUACAACACCACCCGCGCACUCGAGGACCCAGAGAACCAGGAUGCCGGAGUGAAGGAGGCGUAUCUGGGGCUCAUGCGGCGACUCUACUACACCGAGCCGCGCCGUCGUGACUGCAUCCCAACCAAGUAUCUGGACUCUAGGAGUCUUCUUGUUGCGCGGAUGUGGUGGAGCAUGGACGCGGCGCAGCGGAAGCAGUGGCCGCUGUCGCUCAUGGAUCACAAAGCGCUCAACGUUAUUCAGAUCAAGGACAGAUAUCUGUGUUCGUAUGCGAUGACUGCCAUGCAAGCCAAGCAGUAUUUGAUGCGCCUCGUAGCGCGCCCCGAGAUGCGUGCGAUGAUCGACCAGUGGCAGAGAGAGCGAACCGGCGGUAGCACAGGCGCUGGUUCACCGCAGAGAAGCAUGCUGUGACUUCCCCCCCCACCCCAGACCUGCGCCAAAGCAAAGCAGAAGCAGCAUGCCCUCAGAAAAAGAAUGCCGCGAGACCAUUGUAUGCAGCAC